This 85-nucleotide transfer RNA is filed under the name Frischella perrara. Its description in RNAcentral is "tRNA-Tyr". The record is from RNAcentral. Lineage: Bacteria; Pseudomonadati; Pseudomonadota; Gammaproteobacteria; Orbales; Orbaceae.
UGGUGGUGGGGGAAGGAUUCGAACCUUCGAAGUGUGACACGGCAGAUUUACAGUCUGCUCCCUUUGGCCGCUCGGGAACCCCACC